UAUUAACAGUUGGUGGAACAAGAAAAGAGUAGGAGAAUUUACUGCAGCUUUCAUAUUACCAGUUUAUGGACUAGUUCUCAAGAAAGAUCAAGAGAGCAAACAUAAUGUACAUUACUUGGAUAUAGCAAUAAUAAUAACUAAUCAAACAAUGAAUACUGCUGUUUACAAGAAACCCACCCAUCAGCCAGUUCUAAUACCUAGCUGGUCAACUGGAGCCAGCGUCAUACAAAAAGGAUGUUAAGAGAGUGCUACUAUAGUGCACAUAGCAGCAUGAGAAAGAAGAGAUGGAAUUUAUAUAUGAAACAGGCUACCAGUAUGGGUACAGAAGACAGUUUUUGAAACAUAUCCACAUAGAAGUGGAGAAGGCUCUGCAAGGAAAAUACCAAGAUAAUGCUUGCCAGAACAUAGCCCCUCCAUAUAAGCAGGAAUAUUUAACAGUUCCAUAUACAUUUGGCAGCAUGAAAUUUGCAAAGGAUGUAGGAAAACUCACGAGAAGACUAGCAUACCAAAGAACUUCAAAUAUAUUUAACAGCCUGAGGAACAAGAAAGAUAAGAAAGGAGACCUGAAAAGAUCUG
Molecule: long non-coding RNA, 576 nt
Filed under: Androctonus crassicauda
Lineage: Eukaryota; Metazoa; Arthropoda; Arachnida; Scorpiones; Buthidae
Source: RNAcentral